Molecule: ribosomal RNA, 253 nt
Filed under: uncultured bacterium
Lineage: Bacteria
Description: partial 16S ribosomal RNA
Rfam family: Bacterial small subunit ribosomal RNA
Source: RNAcentral
UACGGGGGGGGCAAGCGUUGUUCGGAAUUACUGGGCGUAAAGGGCUCGUAGGUGGCCAACUAAGUCAGACGUGAAAUCCCCAGGCUCAACUUGGGAACUGCGUCUGAUAUUGGAUGGCUUGAAUUCGGGAGAGGGAUGCAGAAUUCCAGGUGUAGCGGUGAAAUGCGUAGAUAUCUGGAGGAAUACCGGUGGCGAAGGCGGCAUCCUGGACCGAGAUUGACACUGAUGAGCGAAAGCCAGGGGAGCAAACGGG